GUUUGUGGUCCCAGAAGCACAGAGAUGCUGGGAAACAAAAAGGAAAGAAAAUGUAUCCAAGGAGGAGAUCCAACUGCUUCCAAGCCAUUUCUAGAAAUAAAAUUCUGAUGCGGACUCAUUACCAUUCCACUUCCCAGCGCCGAUUGGCUUCCUCAGGAUUUCAGAGUAUGCAUCUGAGGAUUCAGACUGUGCAUCAUAAAGUUUCCCUCAGCAACUGCUAAAACUACUCACAAGGCACUGCAGGAUGGAGCAGCUCUCAAAGAUGGAAUGGACUUUCAAUACUUUUGAAGUUAUGCAUCUAGUCAGGAAACACAUCGGGCAGAAUGGGAAAAAAAAUAAAAGAAGAAAUGGCACUUUCAUGUUUCUAUUUGCAAGCUGGAUUCGUCACUCCUCAGCUAUUACCUACAGAGUCACAGAUGGAUGCUGGUUUGCCGGAAAAUAAAUGAAGCACAAGGAUGACUUCAAACAUUUGCAGGAGCCAUGCUGACACUCAAAAUAUAGAAACAUCAAGUAACUUUCCUGGUGAGAUCAUAAAAGCAGAGCCACAGUGAUCAAAGAAGAAAAUGCAAGACUCUUACUCCGUUCCUAAUACAAGAUACAUUCUCCUUCUGGGACCAGGAGCCUCCAUGGCACAGAGAUGCUCCCACAGUCUACAAAUACAGUACACAAGGUUGUCAGGAAAAUGACUGUCAUACCUUCGGCACAAAUGGCAAGGAGUAGAGGCAGUGCGGUGACACAUGGCACGGGACAGAUGCUCGGCGCUUCCCGGGAUGCACAAUGCCUGAUGGUGAGGAAUCCUGGCGGGCCAAGGACAGGAGGCUCUUGUUCCCCCUCUGAUUUCCCCGUGCAGCUUGUGAUUAAACUGGUGCUGACACCUUGCCCGGUGCCUGUUUGCACAGCCAAUAGCCCUGGGCAGGAUUGCUGGCUGUGAAGCACCUACUGGAAAAGGAGAGAAUCUCAUUGUUUGAGAGCAUCUUUGCCCCUGGCAUUUGUUAAACAGGAAACAAAACUGAUUUUCUCCUCGCUUGCCUCACGUAGAUGUGGGGUAGAUUCAAGCUGUGGCAGCCCUGUGAAAUGAGAGUGAACAGGGGUGUUUGCCAAUGGAACAACCACUGCUCAGGAGGGCAAGGCUGGAGGGAUUGCACAGCAUGUGGUUUGUGCUUCAGUGACAGGACCAUAACCACCACCCUGCAGUUGUCCCUCACUGAUCCAUCGCACAUCUGAGCACUGAAGAAUGCUGGAAGAACGAAAGCUGUUUUUUCAAUGUGUAGGAGAUGGCUGUUCAGAGAAUUCCAGCCUGCCAUGCUGGGGCUCAGUGCAAGCACCAAACCCCAGGGUGGCUGAGGGAUGUCCCGGAUGGCACGAUGGAUACGGUGUGUGUGCUCCAGGCCAGGCAGUGAGGGUGCAGCCAAGCACCUGCCCACUCUCCAGUGGCCACACUCCAUCUCAAGUAUUUCCUGAGAUGAGUAAAUUCCCCUUUGGCUGUUUCUCAGCUUGCUUUCCUUGGUAUGCAUGUGACAUGCCCUCGUCGUUGGGAGUGACAGGACACCUCGUGAGCGGGUGCCGAGCUGGCCCUUGGCAAGCAGUGGGACACCCAUCAGGGACGGGAGCAGUGACCAGGAAUGUCACAACUGCAGCCUGUGCAGAGCAGCUCUGAUGAAGGUUAAA
Myiozetetes cayanensis is the source of this 1668-nucleotide long non-coding RNA. RefSeq lists it as uncharacterized. The record is from RefSeq and is a predicted model, not a curated record. The transcript has 4 exons. NCBI's taxonomy places the organism in Eukaryota, Metazoa, Chordata, Aves, Passeriformes, Tyrannidae.